UUCCAGAAAAAUUCAGCCCCUCUCCCUUCCUUUCUACAUAAUUAAAUUGAGGGAUUUCAUGGCAAAUUGAAGGAAAAAGAUGGAGGUCACAAUAGCCAUGGCAACUCACGGCCAUGGCUGCACUUGAAGAGGUCACAUGCUUCCUUUAAGAGUUUUGCUUCUAAGAUUUUGGAGAGUUUGGGACUUGAAUUUGGAGUAGCGUAAGAAGCGGAAACGGUACUCCCAGGUGAGUUGAAGACAGUAUAGAAGAUGUUCCAGUGCAGAUGGCAAGCUCCAUUUGUUCCCGGAGUGCUGCCGAGUCAGAGUUGGUAUGUUAUGCUUUCUGGAUUACGUUAGAGACUUUGCAGACAGCGUCGUGGGUAUUGGUUGUCAGUCUGUAAGUGGCUCCGUCAGCCGAAAUGUCGGUCUGUGUUAUGUACUGAAUUGUGUAUGAUUAUAGAUUUGUUAUGCUUGGAAGCUACGUGGAAGAAUAUUUCUGAAAAAAAAAUUACGAUG
Long non-coding RNA from Lycium barbarum (goji berry), 495 nucleotides. RefSeq lists it as uncharacterized. NCBI's taxonomy places the organism in Eukaryota, Viridiplantae, Streptophyta, Magnoliopsida, Solanales, Solanaceae. The transcript is spliced from 3 exons. The record is from RefSeq and is a predicted model, not a curated record.